GGACUACCAGGGUAUCUAAUCCCGUUUGCUCCCCUAGCUUUCGCGCCUCAGCGUCAGCAGAGGUCCAGGAGCUCGCUUUCGCCACCGGAGUUCCUUCCAAUAUCAACGCAUUUCACCGCUCCACUGGAAGUUCCAGCUCCCCCUACCUCCCUCCAGCCAAUCAGUAUCCAAGGCACUUUUCCGGUUAAGCCGAAAGAUUUCACCCCGGACUUGAUCGACCGCCUACGCGCCCUUUAAGCCCAGUGAUUCCGAACAACGUUCGCACGGUUCGUCUUACCGCGGCUGCUGGCAC
RNAcentral lists this ribosomal RNA (292 nucleotides) under uncultured Planctomycetota bacterium. RNAcentral's name for it is "uncultured planctomycete partial 16S ribosomal RNA". Lineage: Bacteria; Pseudomonadati; Planctomycetota. The record is from RNAcentral.